AACGAACGCUGGCGGCAUGCCUAACACAUGCAAGUCGAACGAGACCUUCGGGUCUAGUGGCGCACGGGUGCGUAACGCGUGGGAACCUGCCCUUAGGUUCGGAAUAACUCCCCGAAAGGGGUGCUAAUACCGGAUAAUGUCUUCGGACCAAAGAUUUAUCGCCCUUGGAUGGGCCCGCGUUGGAUUAGCUAGUUGGUAGGGUAAAAGCCUACCAAGGCGACGAUCCAUAGCUGGUCUGAGAGGAAGAUCAGCCACACUGGGACUGAGAAACGGCCCGGACUCCUACGGGAGGCAGGAGUGGGGAAUAUUGGACAAUGGGCGGAGGGCUGAUCCAGCAAUGCCGGGUGAGUGAUGAAGGCCUUAGGGUUGUAAAGCUCUUUUACCCGGGAUGAUAAUGACAGUACCGGGAGAAUAAGCUCCGGCUAACUCCGUG
Molecule: ribosomal RNA, 433 nt
Filed under: uncultured bacterium
Lineage: Bacteria
Description: partial 16S ribosomal RNA
Rfam family: Bacterial small subunit ribosomal RNA
Source: RNAcentral